RNAcentral lists this long non-coding RNA (441 nucleotides) under Brassica napus (rape). RNAcentral describes it as "long non-coding RNA (BNAP_LNC019649)". The record is from RNAcentral. Lineage: Eukaryota; Viridiplantae; Streptophyta; Magnoliopsida; Brassicales; Brassicaceae.
UCAUUAAAAUUGGCGUUAUUAUUUUUUUUUCAGGUGCAUGCCCUGCAGUACUUGAAACAACAAACAGAAAGAGCUAUUGGACCUCUCCAACAAAGAGUUAGCUAAGUUGGAACACGAGAUCCGUCGCCAGAAACAAACAGUGUUGAUUGACACUCUUGCAUUGUCGAGCGACACCACUUCCCAACAAGCAUAGAGGGACACCCUACUAGUGUCGAACGACACCAUUCACACCGGGACAGAGAUCGUUUCCCCCGAUUGUUCUGAUUCGUGAUGCGGAAGGAAACUGAUAUGCUCAAAUCAACCUUAAGCUAUUCUCUCAAAUAAGAGGUUCAAAUGUAGUAUUUAAGGAUCGAAUCCACAUAGACUCUAUUAUUACUCAAUAUAUUUAUUAGUUUUCGAAUUAAAGCUAGAUGAUAAUAAUAAAAUGCAAGAAAUAGCAAU